UCGGGAAUUUUGGGCAAUGGGGGAAACCCUGACCCAGCAACGCCGCAUGAAGGAUGAAGUAUUUCGGUAUGUAAACUUCGAAAGAAUAGGAAGAAUAAAUGACAGUACUAUUUAUAAGGUCCGGCUAACUACGUGCCAGCAGCCGCGGUAAUACGUAGGGACCAAGCGUUGUUCGGAUUUACUGGGCGUAAAGGGCGCGUAGGCGGCAUGACAAGUCACUUGUGAAAUCUCUGGGCUUAACCCAGAACGGCCAAGUGAUACUGUCGCGCUAGAGUGCAGAAGGGGCAAUCGGAAUUCUUGGUGUAGCGGUGAAAUGCGUAGAUAUCAAGAGGAACACCUGAGGUGAAGACGGGUUGCUGGGCUGACACUGACGCUGAGGCGCGAAAGCCAGGGGAGCAAACGGGAUUAGAUACCCCCGUAGUCCCUGAGCGGGCUGGCAAGGCGCAU
Molecule: ribosomal RNA, 447 nt
Filed under: uncultured bacterium
Lineage: Bacteria
Description: bacterial SSU rRNA
Rfam family: Bacterial small subunit ribosomal RNA
Source: RNAcentral